GGUAAAUCGUGUAGCUUAACUAUACGAAUUCUGGGUAGACUGGUAAACUUGAGACCGGGCGAGGCUAGAGGUACUCCUGGGGUAGAGGUGAAAUUCUGUAAUCCUAGGGGGACCACCAGUGGCGAAGGCGUCUAGCUAGAACGGGUCUGACGGUGAGGGACGAAGCCCUGGGGCGCAAACGGGAUUAGAUACCCCGGUAGUCCAGGGUGUAAACGCUGCUUGCUUGAUGUUAGUUGGGCUUCGGGCCCAAUUAGUGUCGGAGAGAAGUUGUUAAGCAAGCUGCCUGGGAAGUACGGUCGCAAGACUGGAACUUAAAGGAAUUGGCGGGGGAGCACCGCAACGGGUGGAGCGUGCGGUUUAAUUGGAUUCAACGCCGGAAAGCUCACCGGGGGCGACGGUUAUAUGAAGGCCAGGCUGAUGACCUUGCCUGAUUUUCCGAGAGGUGGUGCAUGGCCGCCGUCAGUUCGUACCGUAAGGCGUUCUGUUAAGUCAGACAACGAACGAGACCCUCAUCUUUAAUUGCAACUAGUAAGUCCGCUUAUUAGGCACAUUAAAGAAACCGCUGGCGAUAAGUCAGAGGAAGG
Molecule: ribosomal RNA, 584 nt
Filed under: uncultured Thermoplasmata archaeon
Lineage: Archaea; Methanobacteriati; Thermoplasmatota; Thermoplasmata
Description: bacterial SSU rRNA
Rfam family: Archaeal small subunit ribosomal RNA
Source: RNAcentral